This 503-nucleotide ribosomal RNA is filed under the name uncultured soil bacterium. RNAcentral's name for it is "bacterial SSU rRNA". It matches the Rfam family "Bacterial small subunit ribosomal RNA", at positions 26 to 513 of the family's 1533-position model. The record is from RNAcentral.
AGAUUGAACGCUGGCGGCAUGCCUUACACAUGCAAGUCGAACGGCAGCGCGGGGCAACCUGGCGGCGAGUGGCGAACGGGUGAGUAAUAUAUCGGAACGUACCCUGGAGUGGGGGAUAACGUAGCGAAAGUUACGCUAAUACCGCAUACGAUCUAAGGAUGAAAGUGGGGGAUUCGCAAGAACCUCAUGCUCCUGGAGCGGCCGAUAUCUGAUUAGCUAGUUGGUGGGGUAAAGGUCUACCAAGGCAUCGAUCAGUAGCUGGUCUGAGAGGACGACCAGCCACACUGGAACUGAGACACGGUCCAGACUCCUACGGGAGGCAGCAGUGGGGAAUUUUGGACAAUGGGCGAAAGCCUGAUCCAGCAAUGCCGCGUGAGUGAAGAAGGCCUUCGGGUUGUAAAGACUCUUUUGUCAGGAAAGAAACGGUGAGAGACUAAUAUACUCUUGCUAAUGACGGUAACCUAGAAGAAUAAAGACAACCGGACUAAACUACGUAGCCAGCA